Molecule: long non-coding RNA, 331 nt
Organism: Bombina bombina (fire-bellied toad)
Lineage: Eukaryota; Metazoa; Chordata; Amphibia; Anura; Bombinatoridae
Exons: 3
Source: RefSeq, a predicted model, not a curated record
AACAAAACUUCUUUUUUUAUAUAAUCACUUGGAAUGCUACCAGUUAAGAUUAGAUAUAUCCUUUGUUAAAGAAAUAGCAAUGCACAUGGUUGAACCAAUCACACGAGACAUAUAUGUGCAGCCACCAGAGAUCAGAUCACUGGAUGACCUUGAAGAGUUUUGCUGCAUACUCAAACCCUUUCUACUGCUCCUUGAUCCUGCCAAAGAAGCGCCACACAAGAACAUUUCUCAACACUAAAAACCCCAGAGACCACAAUGGACCAAAGUCACUAGAAAACAGUUUAGAGCUGCUCAUCUCCCAACUGUCUCCAGGACACACCAAUCAGAGAAC